AUCUACAGUAAAGGGAGGGGCCCCACUGGCAUCUACAGUGAAGGGAAGAACCACCCUGGCAUCAACAGUGAUGGCAGAUGGGCGACCAGUGUAGCGGUGUCUGGAGCUGAGGUUGGACCCAUUAGUUGGGGCUGCUAAUCAGUUCACCAUGUGGGCUGUGGGCCAAGCCACUGAAGGGAUGCACCUGGAUUAGGAGUGACUGGGCUGGAUCUGAGAAUUGUAUCUGAAAUAAAAAAUAUACAAGAUGGUUUUACAGCAGAAUGAAUAAAGCAGAAGAAAAGAACAGUGAACUGGUAUACAGGUUAAAAAAAAAUUAACCAAAUGAAAGAGUGAGAAAAACCCUGAAAAACUGAAAAAGACUACAGAGAAUGUCGAUGAUCUAUGGGACAACACCAAGUCACUAAUAUGUGUACCUGGAAUCCCAAAAGGAGAAGAGAGAGAGAAUGAAGUAAAAAAAAUUUUUAAAAAUAUUGACCUUGAGAGCCUAGGAAGUAAAAAAAGAAAAAGAAAUGACAAAGAAAUAUUGACCUCAAGAUUUCCAAGUUUGAUGAAAAUCCUAAAUCCCUAAAAUUAAGAAGCUCAAUGAAUUCCAACAGGAUAAAUACAAUGAAAAUCACACACAGUCAAACAACUAAAAAUGAAAAAUAAACAUCCAACAAGUAGUCAAAAGAAAAACAAUAACAUAUACAGUCAUCCUUGGUAUCCUCAAGGGAACUGGUUCCAGGAUGUGGGCCAUGGAUAAGGAGGGCCGGCUGUACUGAGAAACAAAAAGACUGUUGACUUCUCUCCAGAAACAAUGCAAGCUAAUAGACAAUAGAAGAUAAUAUCUGAAAUGCUAAAAACAAUAAAACAAAAAACUAUCAACCUAGAAUCACAGGCCUAGAAAAAAUAAUCCAUAUGCAUCAAAGAUGAAGGUGAACUAAGAUGAGAGAAUUUAUUUCCAGCAGACCUGCAUUACUGGAACUGUUAAAGAAAAUUACUUGGCAGAGGAGAUCACAGGAAGACUGUAAAAGUGUGAGUGAUGAAAAACAUUUGGAUAAAUUAUAAUGCUGUAACAAAGCCUCGUCUUAAUUUCUUUGAGAGACUUUUGACUUUUUUGAACAGAAACAACAUUAUAAGGUCUAAUGCAUAUAGUAGUAAAAUAUGAUAACAGGACACAAGGAAUUAGAGGGAGAAAUUGGGUGUCAUAAUGGCAGUGGGUAUCCACAAUGGCAAUAGUAUACAGCUGUCUCUGCAGAAUCGUCUCCCUGGCAAGAACUAUAACUGCUGUGGCCACUCCAGUUGUCAUUUACGGACAGCUCACUAGGAUGCAGGUGCUCUUGUUAUGAUGCUCACCAUGCAGGUGAGGAGCCCUGCCCAGGAAUCAGAGCCCUGCAGGCUGAAGCGUGACUUCCACAGGCCCUUCUGCAUAUCUUUGAUGGGAGCAGGCUGGUCAGGCUGAGAACCCAGCACUCCCCUGACUUCACAGGUUCACAGGUGUCCCCCUGACUAGAUAACCUCCCCCAGGCGCCCACUGGACCAAAAUGUUUCCUAAGAGCACUGAAUGGUGUGAUUGAUACAAACCCCACGAGGUUAUAAAAUAUCAAGCAAAUGUGAGAUAUUAUCAUCACUGCCACCACCACCAGCCUGGAACAUUUUAAUUCCAUUUUUGGAAAUAUUCCCAUUUUCCUGAAGGAACAAGAAAAUCAAAAUCCCCCUUUCUGACCACUCAUUUAAACUGAUCCUAAGAAACACAGAAAGAAAACAUGUCAAAUUCCCUGCUACCCUGACAGUUAACAGGAUCUCUGAAAAAUAAAAUUGUUCUUAAGUGUUUAUCUAAUCAGCUGAAAGGAAGCAGCCAACAGGCCUCAAAACAAGAGGACACUUUAAAGGACCUAGGGUGCCAGGACAAGAGAAGUACCUCGCCUGCGUAGCGGUUGCGCAAAUUCAGGGAUGCCAUGAAGUUGGAGUAGUCUUUCUUCACACAGGCCGGACGCUCGGUCAGCUGAGUUGCCUACAGACAAAUAACCAUUAUUUUAGACUAUGGCAGCACUAUCCUUUUCUCGUGUUUACCAUGGCUAAGCCUAAACCCAAUUAAGAAGUCACACUCGGAUCUGGGGGUUACUAUUAAUAAAAAUCUUCACUGCUGGCAAGUUAAUAAAGCAAAAUAUUUUAG
Pongo pygmaeus (Bornean orangutan) is the source of this 2155-nucleotide long non-coding RNA. RefSeq lists it as uncharacterized. The transcript is spliced from 3 exons. The record is from RefSeq and is a predicted model, not a curated record. Lineage: Eukaryota; Metazoa; Chordata; Mammalia; Primates; Hominidae.